RNAcentral lists this ribosomal RNA (301 nucleotides) under uncultured bacterium. RNAcentral describes it as "partial 16S ribosomal RNA". It matches the Rfam family "Bacterial small subunit ribosomal RNA", at positions 509 to 807 of the family's 1533-position model. The record is from RNAcentral.
CAGUAGCCGCGGGAAUACAGAGGGUGCGAGCGUUAAUCGGAUUUACUGGGCGUAAAGCGUGCGUAGGCGGCUAAUUGAGUCGGAUGUGAAAUCCCCGAGCUUAACUUGGGAAUUGCAUUCGAUACUGGUUAGCUAGAGUGUGGGAGAGGAUGGUAGAAUUCCAGGUGUAGCGGUGAAAUGCGUAGAGAUCUGGAGGAAUACCGAUGGCGAAGGCAGCCAUCUGGCCUAACACUGACGCUGAGGUACGAAAGCAUGGGGAGCAAACAGGAUUAGAUACUCGGGUAGUCCCUGUCUCUUAUAC